Molecule: small nuclear RNA, 107 nt
Filed under: Tursiops truncatus (common bottlenose dolphin)
Lineage: Eukaryota; Metazoa; Chordata; Mammalia; Artiodactyla; Delphinidae
Source: RNAcentral
AUGCUUACUUCGGCAGCACUUAUACUAAAAUUGGAACCAUACAGAGAAGAUUAGCAUGACCCCUGUGCAAGGAUGACAUGCAAAUUUGCAAAGCAUUCCAUAUAUUU